GCCAGAGUAGCUCAGUAGGUAGAGCGACUGACUGUUAAUCAGUAGGUCGUAGGUUCGAAUCCUUCCUCUGGCG
RNAcentral lists this transfer RNA (73 nucleotides) under archaeon CG2_30_31_98. RNAcentral's name for it is "tRNA-Asn". It matches the Rfam family "tRNA". Rfam says of the family: Transfer RNA (tRNA) molecules are approximately 80 nucleotides in length. The record is from RNAcentral. RNAcentral also lists the same sequence under 2 other names.